AGAGAGAAGCGAAUUCGCAAGGAAGAGCGGAUCUCAAAAAAGUAGGUCCCAGUUCGGAUUGUGGGCCGCAACCCGCCCACAUGGAGUCGGAGUUGCUAGUAAUCGCGGAUCAGCAUGCCGCGGUGAAUACGUUCCCGGGCCUUGUACACACCGCCCGUCACACCAUGGGAGUUGGGAGUGCCCAAAGCCGGUGAGGCAACCUUCGGGAGCCAGCCGUCUAAGGCAAGACCAAUGACUGGGGUGAAGUCGUAACAAGGUACC
RNAcentral lists this ribosomal RNA (261 nucleotides) under uncultured bacterium. RNAcentral's name for it is "partial 16S ribosomal RNA". It matches the Rfam family "Bacterial small subunit ribosomal RNA", at positions 1241 to 1500 of the family's 1533-position model. The record is from RNAcentral.